Molecule: ribosomal RNA, 497 nt
Filed under: uncultured bacterium
Lineage: Bacteria
Description: partial 16S ribosomal RNA
Rfam family: Bacterial small subunit ribosomal RNA
Source: RNAcentral
GAUGAACGCUGGCGGCGUGCCUAAUACAUGCAAGUCGAGCGAACAGACGAGGAGCUUGCUCCUCUGACGUUAGCGGCGGACGGGUGAGUAACACGUGGAUAACCUACCUAUAAGACUGGGAUAACUUCGGGAAACCGGAGCUAAUACCGGAUAAUAUAUUGAACCGCAUGGUUCAAUAGUGAAAGACGGCUUUGCUGUCACUUAUCGAUGGUUCCGCGCCGCAUUAGCUAGUUGGUAAGGUAACGGCCUACCAAGGCAACGAUGCGUAGCCGACCUGAGAGGGGGAUAGGCCACACUGGAACGGAGACACGGUCCAGACUCCUACGGGAGGCAGCAGUAGGGAAUCUUCGGCAAUGGGCGAAAGCCUGACGGAACGACGCCGCGUGAGUGAUGAAGGUCUUCGGAUCGUAAAGCUCUGUUAUUAGGGAAGAACAGAUGUGUAAGUAACUAUGCACGUCUUGACGGUACCUAAUCAGAAAGCCACGGCUAACUACGUG